UUAUUAUCCAUAAUUAACUCUGACCAAGAGC
Molecule: non-coding RNA, 31 nt
Filed under: Rattus norvegicus (Norway rat)
Lineage: Eukaryota; Metazoa; Chordata; Mammalia; Rodentia; Muridae
Source: RNAcentral